This 2428-nucleotide long non-coding RNA is filed under the name Equus asinus (donkey). RNAcentral's name for it is "lncRNA (ENSEASG00005025656.1)". Lineage: Eukaryota; Metazoa; Chordata; Mammalia; Perissodactyla; Equidae. The record is from RNAcentral.
UUUCAAGCCAAACGCUCUCCUUUUACGGCUCCGAGGCCGCACUGGGCUCAUUUGCGGAAGAAUUCACAGCUGAGUUGAAAGCCUUGAUCAAGUAAUUGAAGUUCAGGCAUAAAGUAUCAAAGCGGCGCGAGAACUUUCGCUCCGCGCCGGCUCGCGCUGCCUCCCGCGCCCCAGCCCCUGCCGAGGCGGCGGGGCCGCGGGCUUUGAUGGCGGCCGCAACUCCUCCGAGUCAUGAAUGUUUCAGCGCGCGGCGCGCGAGGUGAGGGCCGCGCGUCCAGGUGUAAGCUAGCAGGUUGUCGCCGACAUCUGUUUGCAGCAGCGGCAGCGGCCUCCCCAGGCCGCGGCGAGCGGCCGGAUUGUCAGCGGAGGUAGUUGAGAGCGGCAGAAGCGUUUUGGUCUCACGCUCGCUGCCUGGAGGCCUGAAACACCAAAGAGUGAGAGAAGCAGAAAGACAAAGAAAGAAGAAAGCGCAGCGCAAGUUUUGGAGUUGUUCCACAAACCAAUUAAAUCUCCGAGGAGCUUCUUGGCUGGAACCGAGGUUAUGUUAACCUUCAGACCGCGAUCCCUCCUUCACCAGUGAGCAGACAUAAACUUAUAUUCUGCAAUAGAAGAAUCCUGGGGUUGGUAACGCCCGUGAAGUACAUCUACUAUUUGUUUUUAAACGUUUAUCAUAGGGCUUCUUGUUACAUGGAGGUGAAAUGGAAUUGCAUUUUUUUCCCAGAUGAAUGUGAUUUUUUUUAGUAAAACAAAAUUUAGAAAAUUGCAUUGACUUCAGUUUUCUUCGUAUUUAUAAAGGCUUCAGUACCUGCAGUUGGAUGUUAAAAAUAAAAUUUUAAGUCGAAAGUAAGAAUUACACGUUCCUUUAACAUUUUCCUCUUUUGAGCGGGCUCCCCCUCUACCACCUAGAUUCAGCCAGGAAAAAAAUUCAGGAAUGUGAAUAAUUUUCACUAGAAAUAUUACGAAAACCUAAUUGUGCGCACAAUCACAUAUGUGUGACAUAAUAGAAUUGGUUACAAUAUUAGCCUGACAAGUAAAGCUCCAGGGCAUGGUAAAAUAAUAGUCCAGAGUAAUGUAAACUAUUAUCAUUAAUAAAAUUUAGGCUCCCUACCCUGAGGAAGUGUCUGCAGGACCACUGUGAGAUAAAGGAAGGGUACCUUCUUAAAGGCAUCCUUCUGAAUGGGAGUAGGGAGGGAGCAAUGGCCUGGGGAGAGAUGCUAGUGUGUGGCAACGUUUUCAUCAGUCAGUGGUGAAGUAAGCAACAUAAGUGCAUAGUGAGUUCCAAAUUAAGUUAAAUUUACGUUGAGAAGACUUUUGUUGUGCAGAUAUAAUUUUCAUUUGUUUUUGAAAUAAAGUCUAUUCUGAUAGAAUUCAAUGCCAGUUCUCCCAUCUUUUAAAAAAUCUGAGAACAUAGGUUCAUUUCAAAGGCACCAGAGAAGCCUCAGUGGCACAUGAUUCAGGCUAGAACGCCGGUUCACAUCUCUAGUUCUGGAUUUAUGCUCACUCCUCUGCCAGUCCUGCUUCUCAGUUCUCAUGCUCAAGACAAACUGGCCUCACCAUCUUCAUUGGCGGCCUCUUCAAAGAUUCUAACCCUCCCAAGGAUCGCUCUGAACUCCCUUGUGCUUUCAAGUCAUCUUCACUAUUAAACCACUCCAUCUCCGGACUGGAGAAGCAUCUUGAUAGCAGAGAUUUUGUGCCACGCUGCCUUCAAGUUCCCCAUCGCAUUUGCAAAAUGUAAACCACUGUGGGUGUUUCUGAGCAGAUUGAAACCGUCACUUAAAUGAUUCGAGAUUUCAAACGUUUUUAGUGCUUAGCAUUAUGCUGCUAAUGACUGCAUUCUUAAACUUAAUUUUUAGAUUCCAUAUUGAUCUUUUGUGUCAUAUAGCCAGAGUUUAGAAUAAAUUUUAAGAACUGUAAGAAAACCCUUUAUUUUAGCCUAAUCGAGUCAGUCCUAUUGUACACAAAAUGCACAUGGUCCCUUCAAAUCUUUCCUUUUUUUAAUACUUUAGAGAAAAAUAUCAAUAUGUUUUAAAACUGAAAAUUGAUUCCUUACGUUUUAUUUCUGCAAGAUCUGAAAUUUUACGUGAUCCUUUAGGCCAAUUACCAUGUGACAUCACUGGGAAAGAGUACCACUAGACUUUCCCGUUACCCUUUGUGUCAUUACUAGUACCUUUCCUUCUUAGUAUCGCUUGUCUUCAUAUUUCAGGGCAGCCUUAAAAUACCUUAAAUAUCCAGUUUAAAUUAGUAGAAGCAAUUAACUUUGUACAUAUUUGGAAGAUAAAUUUUUACUAGAACACACAUGUCAUGAACAUGCCAUUAUUACUACAAUCCUGCUGACUGAUUUGUGAGUGUGUGUAUAGGUAUAGAUGUGUGUAUGCUAUGUUUACUAUAAAUAUAAAUGUAUGUGUAUUCCUGUAGAACAUGUUUUCUC